GAGUUUGAUCCUGGCUCAGGAUGAACGCUAGCGGCAGGCUUAACACAUGCAAGUCGAGGGGCAGCACGAUGUAGCAAUACAUGGGUGGCGACCGGCGCACGGGUGCGUAACACGUAUGGAAUCUGCCCUUUACUGGGGGAUAGCCCGGAGAAAUCCGGAUUAAUACCCCAUAACAGGCGAGGUGGCAUCACCUUGCUUUGAAAGCUCCGGCGGUAAAGGAUGACCAUGCGCACGAUUAGCUAGUUGGUGAGGUAACGGCUCACCAAGGCUACGAUCGUUAGGGGGCCUGAGAGGGUUAUCCCCCACACUGGUACUGAGACACGGACCAGACUCCUACGGGAGGCAGCAGUGAGGAAUAUUGCACAAUGGAGGCAACUCUGACGCAGCCAUGCCGCGUGCAGGAAGAAGGCGCUACGCGUUGUAAACUGCUUUUAUCCGGGAAGAAACCCCUCGACGUGUCGAGGGUUGACGGUACCGGAGGAAUAAGCACCGGCUAACUUCGUGCCAGCAGCCGCGGUAAUACGAAGGGUGCAAGCGUUAUCCGGAUUCAUUGGGUUUAAAGGGUGCGUAGGCGGAGCGCUAAGUCAGUGGUGAAAUCCUGCAGCUUAACUGUAGACUUGCCAUUGAUACUGGCGUUCUUGAGUGCGCUUGAAGUAGGCGGAAUGUGCCGUGUAGCGGUGAAAUGCUUAGAUAUGGCACAGAACACCAAUUGCGAAGGCAGCUUACUAAGGCGAUACUGACGCUGAGGCACGAAAGCGUGGGGAGCGAACAGGAUUAGAUACCCUGGUAGUCCACGCCGU
Molecule: ribosomal RNA, 800 nt
Filed under: uncultured bacterium
Lineage: Bacteria
Description: bacterial SSU rRNA
Rfam family: Bacterial small subunit ribosomal RNA
Source: RNAcentral